GACGAACGCUGGCGGCGUGCUUAACACAUGCAAGUCGAACGGAAAGGCCCUGCUUUUGUGGGGUGCUCGAGUGGCGAACGGGUGAGUAACAAGUGAGUAACCUGCCCUUGACUUUGGGAUAACUUCAGGAAACUGGGGUUAAUACCGGAAAGGAUCUCCGCCUGCAUGGUGGGGGUGGGAAAGUUUCGGCGGUUGGGGAUGGACUCGCGGCUUAUCAGCUUGUUGGUGGGGUAGUGGCUUACCAAGGCUUUGACGGGUAGCCGGCCUGAGAGGGUGACCGGCCACAUUGGGACUGAGAUACGGCCCAGACUCCUACGGGAGGCAGCAGUGGGGAAUAUUGCACAAUGGGCGGAAGCCUGAUGCAGCAACGCCGCGUGCGGGAUGACGGCCUUCGGGUUGUAAACCGCUUUCGCCUGUGACGAAGCGUGAGUGACGGUAAUGGGUAAAGAAGCACCGGCUAACUACGUG
This 468-nucleotide ribosomal RNA is filed under the name uncultured bacterium. Its description in RNAcentral is "partial 16S ribosomal RNA". It matches the Rfam family "Bacterial small subunit ribosomal RNA", at positions 28 to 507 of the family's 1533-position model. The record is from RNAcentral.